This 118-nucleotide ribosomal RNA is filed under the name Octodon degus (degu). The record is from RNAcentral. Lineage: Eukaryota; Metazoa; Chordata; Mammalia; Rodentia; Octodontidae.
AAGAAUGUCUACAGCAGUAGCACCCUGGAUCUCAUCUGAUCUCAGAAGCUAAGCAGGGUCAGGCUUGGUUAGUACUUGGAUGGGAGAAUGUCUAUAAACCAUUUCAACAACUUUCCUA